CCUACGGGAGGCAGCAGUGGGGAAUUUUGGACAAUGGGCGCAAGCCUGAUCCAGCAAUGCCGCGUGAGUGAAGAAGGCCUUCGGGUUGUAAAGCUCUUUUGUCAGGGAAGAAACGGUCUACUCUAAUACAGUGGGCUAAUGACGGUACCUGAAGAAUAAGCACCGGCUAACUACGUGCCAGCAGCCGCGGUAAUACGUAGGGUGCAAGCGUUAAUCGGAAUUACUGGGCGUAAAGCGUGCGCAGGCGGUUAUAUAAGUCAGAUGUGAAAUCCCCGGGCUCAACCUGGGAACUGCAUUUGAGACUGUAUGGCUAGAGUGUGUCAGAGGGGGGUAGAAUUCCACGUGUAGCAGUGAAAUGCGUAGAUAUGUGGAGGAAUACCGAUGGCGAAGGCAGCCCCCUGGGAUAACACUGACGCUCAUNCACGAAGACGUGGGAGGACGAACAGAGUAGUAUACCUACGGUAGUACCGACCGACCCGUAACCGAACUAGUCUACUAGUU
Molecule: ribosomal RNA, 501 nt
Filed under: uncultured bacterium
Lineage: Bacteria
Description: bacterial SSU rRNA
Rfam family: Bacterial small subunit ribosomal RNA
Source: RNAcentral